AAGUAGUUAGGCUAAAUGACAUCCCAAGGGAGGGAACCUAAUCCAAAAGGACUGGUAUCCUUGUAAGAAGAGAAAGUUUUGUGAUAUCUGGGUUUAAGAAGUGCAAUAUUAAAGCAAAAGUCAUGAGACUUUUAGGCCUGUAUGUAAAGAUACACUCUGAGUUAUAAAUCAAAGGCACAACU
Otolemur garnettii (small-eared galago) is the source of this 182-nucleotide non-coding RNA. Lineage: Eukaryota; Metazoa; Chordata; Mammalia; Primates; Galagidae. The record is from Rfam.